UACGGAGGGUGCAAGCGUUGUCCGGAUUUAUUGGGUUUAAAGGGUGCGUAGGCGGCCAUAUAAGUCAGUGGUGAAACCCUUGGGCUUAACCCAAGGAGUGCCAUUGAUACUGUAUGGCUUGGGUUAUCUCUGGGCGGGCGGAAUGGAUGGUGUAGCGGUGAAAUGCGCAGAUAUCAGGAGGAACACCAAUGGCGAAGGCAACUCGCUGGGACGGUACUGACGCUGAGACGCGAAAGCGUGGGGAGCAAACAGG
RNAcentral lists this ribosomal RNA (253 nucleotides) under uncultured bacterium. RNAcentral describes it as "partial 16S ribosomal RNA". It matches the Rfam family "Bacterial small subunit ribosomal RNA", at positions 524 to 776 of the family's 1533-position model. The record is from RNAcentral.